CGCGUAGGCGGUUUGGCAAGUCAGAUGUGAAAUCCCCGGGCUUAACUCGGGAAUUGCAUCUGAAACUGCUUUUCUUGAGUCCUGGAGGGGUAGUGGAAUUCCCAGUGUAGCGGUGAAAUGCGUAGAUAUUGGGAGGAACACCUGUGGCGAAGGCGGCUACCUGGACAGUGACUGACGCUGAGGCGCGAAAGCUAGGGGAGCGAACG
RNAcentral lists this ribosomal RNA (206 nucleotides) under uncultured Acidobacteriota bacterium. RNAcentral's name for it is "uncultured Acidobacteria bacterium partial 16S ribosomal RNA". It matches the Rfam family "Bacterial small subunit ribosomal RNA", at positions 568 to 774 of the family's 1533-position model. The record is from RNAcentral. Lineage: Bacteria; Pseudomonadati; Acidobacteriota.